Artibeus jamaicensis (Jamaican fruit-eating bat) is the source of this 4151-nucleotide RNA transcript. It is a transcript of the gene named RIC8 guanine nucleotide exchange factor B, with no coding region annotated. The transcript has 13 exons. The record is from RefSeq and is a predicted model, not a curated record. Lineage: Eukaryota; Metazoa; Chordata; Mammalia; Chiroptera; Phyllostomidae.
UGUAGUCUUUUUGGCUGUUGCCUCCUGGAGUGGAGGGGAAGAGCCCGGUCGUUCUUGUCAGCUGAGGAGAAUGAUUCAUAGAGGAGGGUCGGGAAAGAGCAGUUCUGUCUGUGAAAGCCCACUUAAAAAGCUGCACUCUAUUUCGUGGAAGGGAGAGGCAGAAAAGCGAGCAGGCCCUCGGGCCUGACCCCGCCUUAGGCCGCUCGGCAGGCCACCACCGAGUCCUCGGCCUGGUCCGGGGCGGCCUCGAGCCUCUGGUUGCUGGGGGAAUGGUGACGUCGCGGGGUGAAAGUUGAGGGGCGGUGACGUCGGGCCUGGCCGGGCGGAGGCUGGCGGGUUGGAGGCAGGAGGGAGGGAAGGAGGGAAGGAAGGAAGCUGGGAAGGAGCGAGCGAGCGGGGGCGCGAGGCGUUUACCUGGAAGCAGCGGCUCGGGCGCGCAGAGCGGCCGCGGCUCCCCCGCACCUGCGGCGAUGGACGAAGAGCGCGCCCUCUACAUCGUCCGGGCCGGCGAGGCGGGGGCUAUCGAGCGGGUUCUGAGGGAUUACAGCGAUAAGCAUAGGGCUACUUUCAAAUUUGAACCAACAGAUGAAGAUAAAAGAAAGAAACUCUGUGAAGGCAUAUUUAAAGUCCUUGUAAAGGACAUCCCAACAACAUGUCAAGUGUCCUGUCUGGAAGUUCUCCGUAUUCUCUCCAGAGACAAAAAGGUUUUAGUUCCUGUAACAACCAAGGAAAAUAUGCAGAUACUGCUGCGACUAGCGAAGCUAAAUGACUCAGAUGAUUCUUUGGAGAAGGUGUCAGAGUUCCCAGUUAUUGUGGAGUCAUUAAAAUGUCUGUGUAACAUAGUGUUCAACAGUCAGAUGGCACAGCAGCUCAGCCUGGAACUUAACCUUGCUGCAAAGCUCUGUAACCUCCUGAGAAAGUGCAAGGACCGAAAGUUUAUCAGUGACAUUAAGUGCUUUGACUUGCGCUUGCUCUUCCUCCUGUCACUUUUGCACACUGACAUCAGGUCACAAUUGCGCUAUGAGCUCCAGGGACUACCGCUGCUAACCCAGAUCUUGGAAAGUGCCUUUAGCAUCAAGUGGACCGAUGAGUAUGAAUCGGCCAUAGACCAUAAUGGACCUCCUCUCUCACCUCAGGAGACAGACUGUGCCAUUGAGGCCCUCAAAGCUCUCUUCAAUGUGACAGUAGACAGUUGGAAGGUGCAUAAAGAGAGUGAUUCUCAUCAGUUCCGUGUCAUGGCAGCUGUCCUUCGCCAUUGUUUACUAAUUGUAGGUCCAACUGAAGACAAAACUGAAGAGCUGCACAGCAAUGCAGUCAACCUUUUAAGCAAUGUUCCGGUCUCUUGUUUGGAUGUUCUCAUUUGUCCAUUAACCCAUGAAGAAACAGCCCAAGAGGCCACGACUCUAGAUGAACUGCCCAGUGAUAAAACAUCUGAGAAAGAAACAGUUUUGAAAAACAAUACGAUGGUGUACAAUGGUAUGAAUAUGGAGGCCAUUUAUGUUUUACUCAAUUUUAUGGAGAAGAGAAUAGACAAGGGAAGCAGCUAUAGAGAGGGCUUAACUCCAGUUCUCAGCUUAUUAACAGAAUGUUCCCGAGCCCAUCGAAACAUCAGAAAAUUUCUCAAAGAUCAGGUUUUACCACCACUGAGGGAUGUGACAAAUCGACCUGAAGUCGGCUCAACUGUGAGAAAUAAGCUGGUGCGCCUCAUGACACAUGUUGACCUUGGAGUCAAACAAAUUGCUGCUGAAUUCCUUUUUGUCCUUUGCAAGGAGAGAGUGGAUAGCCUGCUGAAAUACACUGGCUAUGGGAAUGCUGCAGGACUGUUGGCGGCCAGGGGCCUCUUGGCUGGAGGAAGAGGAGAUAAUUGGUACUCAGAGGACGAGGACACAGACACUGAAGAAUACAAAAAUGCAAAACCAAACAUUAAUCUUAUCACUGGUCAUUUAGAGGAACCAAUGCCAAACCUUAUAGAUGAAAUGACAGAAGAACAAAAAGAAUAUGAAGCCAUGAAACUUGUCAACAUGCUUGAUAAACUUUCCAGGAGAGCAGAUGUGAAGGACCUGCACCAGGAUGGUGGUUAGCAACAGUGGCCCAUGCCAAAGCUCUUACCAAAGUGAUGACUAAGACAGGGAAAGAGGUGCUGUACUGAAGAGUAAACAGGACCAGUAAUCACAUGGCUGACCCAGCCCAGGCGUCUGGUUAACGAACGACACAGCCAGGACUCCGUUCUCAGUCUUCAGACUCCAGGUCAUGCAUUAUUUUGAAAAUUACCAACACCACCCCCAAAUUUUUCAGUCCAAUUUAAAUCAGAAAUUCUAAAUUUUAAACAAGUGAAAAGCAUAAAGACAGACAGUAACCAUAUUUACCUGAGAAGAGAAUUAAGAUUUGGAGGAUAUUUUUUCCACUCUUCAUUCCAUAGUUGAUUUGAGCUCUUUACAAAUAUCAGGUCAGAAGCUAAAUAAAUAGCUUAUAUUUUUAACAACAAAAAACAGUUUUAUAUAGAAAAAGCCAGUAAAAUUGCUAUUGUUCUAUGUUAAUAUAAGGUCUGUUUUGUUAAUAUAAGGUCUCAGUUUUGAAAAGAGAAUGAUUAUAGGUAUUCUGACAAAUGCUUAUUAUUUAGUGUGAUCACAUUAGGAAAACUUAACUCUAAAAAGGCUUCCUUCCCUUUGGGACUCUUCAGGAAACUCCCCCAUUGCCUUCACAAGGUGGAAAGGUGUGGCGCAGACAAUAUGCCAUAUUCAUUUGUCUUGGGGGUGAUAUUUGUAUGCUACAUGUUCAAUCUUCCCAACUGUGCCCAAACCCAAAGCAUGAUAGUGAGGGCUAAGGAAACAUCCUCAGAGUCAUUUGUGAAAGAUGCAGCCUGAAUACCUAGAAUUUGCUAUGGAAAAGCCACCAUAUACCUUCUGCCUAUUGGGUUAGUGACUUAGAGGAAAAUCAGGAUAACCAGUCAGCAGUAGGAAGCCAUCAAACGAAAGAUAUAAUGAAAGAUGAAAGAUCAGGGUCCAAAAGACACUUUCAUAGUAUAUAAAUGAACAUGUUAACUAGAGUCAAAGGUUAUAAUAUUAUUUCUGGGGUGGGGGAAGAGUCAAAAACACUUAUAAGAAUGUCACAAGUCAGUGGGAAAUCAUUGUACUUCAGUGAAUUAUGCACUGACUGUUCCAGUGAUCCAGAAACUUUGAAAUAAGAUGCACUCUCAGACUUGGAAUUAUAGCAAAGAUUACAGAGCUUUCUUCAGGCUAUCCCAGGCUCCAUUCUUGCAGGCAUUUUGGAGAAAGCUCUGUGUUAAUUAAAAGGCUUUAUUUAUAUACAAGUUUCUCAUCCUAUCUUUCAGAUGUUUAAAGGAAUUAAAUAUGAAAUGACUAAUUCGAAAUGUCAGGCUUCUUUUUUCCAAGCCAACCUUGCAUUAAGAGCAGGAAUCCCUGUGCCAAAGAAAUGGUUCCCAAUUAUCCUGUCCUGGGUUUUGUUAUGCAUUGUACAGAAGUCAACAAAACAAGUAUGUAACAGAACCUGCCUAAAUAACAGCCACCCUCAUUAAAAACGGAGAAUUAACCAGGGGAUGAUUGAAGGAGCAAUGCCUUAUAGGUUCCCCCUUUUCUUCCUUUCUAAUCAUAGAACAAAAUAUGUUACAUAAAAGGAUCGGAACUAUUAUGCAGUAGUACUCAAUUAGAGGGAGGUGAAUAGGUCUCUAACAUACUGUUUUAUCAAAAGAGCAGACCGGUGUUUGCAUGACUGUUGUUUCAUUACAGACCCUGUCAUUAAUUCCAUGUGUCAAUACUGCCCUGUAGUACACAGAGCAGACAAGAAAGAAGAGCCCUUGAAAACAAGGGAAUGAUUUUUGAGUCGUUAUCAAGCUAAGUGGCGAGCGGGAAGCUGAAUCUCGUAUAGUUGAACAUUCUUGGAGGCUUAUCUCUUCCCUGGCCAGAUGCCUGAUCAGAUGAGAAGCCCGCCAUGAUACUGUCCCAGUGCCUAGAAUGGGCACUUUGUCCAGUAGACAUCACUGUACUUUUUGAUGAUAACGAGGGCAGUCUUAACUUGUGUUAAGGCCUGUGUGUAGCAUUGAAGAGAGGAGUUGCUUAAACCAAUGGGACUAAAACCUGAUGGGACAAUAACGCCUUUGGAGGAAGCACUCAGCCAGUACUCAGUCAUCGAAG